This 253-nucleotide ribosomal RNA is filed under the name uncultured bacterium. RNAcentral's name for it is "partial 16S ribosomal RNA". It matches the Rfam family "Bacterial small subunit ribosomal RNA", at positions 524 to 776 of the family's 1533-position model. The record is from RNAcentral.
UACGGGGGGAGCAAGCGUUGUUCGGAUUUACUGGGCGUAAAGGGCGCGUAGGUGGCCAACUAAGUCAGACGUGAAAUCCCUCGGCUUAACCGGGGAACUGCAUCUGAUACUGGAUGGCUUGAGUUUGGGAGAGGGAUGCGGAAUUCCAGGUGUAGCGGUGAAAUGCGUAGAUAUCUGGAGGAACACCGGUGGCGAAGGCGGCAUCCUGGACCAACACUGACACUGAUGAGCGAAAGCCAGGGGAGCAAACGGG